This 1026-nucleotide ribosomal RNA is filed under the name Hirsutella thompsonii. RNAcentral's name for it is "SSU rRNA". It matches the Rfam family "Eukaryotic small subunit ribosomal RNA", at positions 67 to 1105 of the family's 1831-position model. Lineage: Eukaryota; Fungi; Ascomycota; Sordariomycetes; Hypocreales; Ophiocordycipitaceae. The record is from RNAcentral.
AAGCAAUUAUACAGCGAAACUGCGAAUGGCUCAUUAUAUAAGUUAUCGUUUAUUUGAUAGUGCCUUACUACUUGGAUAACCGUGGUAAUUCUAGAGCUAAUACAUGCUGAAAAUCCCGACUUCGGAAGGGAUGUAUUUAUUAGAUUCAAAACCAAUGCCCUCUGGGCUCACUGGUGAUUCAUGAUAACUCUUCGAAUCGCAUGGCCUUGCGCCGGCGAUGGUUCAUUCAAAUUUCUUCCCUAUCAACUUUCGAUGUUUGGGUAGUGGCCAAACAUGGUUGCAACGGGUAACGGAGGGUUAGGGCUCGACCCCGGAGAAGGAGCCUGAGAAACGGCUACUACAUCCAAGGAAGGCAGCAGGCGCGCAAAUUACCCAAUCCCGACACGGGGAGGUAGUGACAAUAAAUACUGAUACAGGGCUCUUUUGGGUCUUGUAAUUGGAAUGAGUACAAUUUAAAUCCCUUAACGAGGAACAAUUGGAGGGCAAGUCUGGUGCCAGCAGCCGCGGUAAUUCCAGCUCCAAUAGCGUAUAUUAAAGUUGUUGUGGUUAAAAAGCUCGUAGUUGAACCUUGGGCCUGGCUGGCCGGUCCGCCUCACCGCGUGUACUGGCCCGGCCGGGCCUUUCCCUCUGUGGAACCCCAUGCCCUUCACUGGGUGUGGCGGGGAAACAGGACUUUUACUUUGAAAAAAUUAGAGUGCUCCAGGCAGGCCUAUGCUCGAAUACAUUAGCAUGGAAUAAUGAAAUAGGACGCGCGGUUCUAUUUUGUUGGUUUCUAGGACCGCCGUAAUGAUUAAUAGGGACAGUCGGGGGCAUCAGUAUUCAAUUGUCAGAGGUGAAAUUCUUGGAUUUAUUGAAGACUAACUACUGCGAAAGCAUUUGCCAAGGAUGUUUUCAUUAAUCAGGAACGAAAGUUAGGGGAUCGAAGACGAUCAGAUACCGUCGUAGUCUUAACCAUAAACUAUGCCGACUAGGGAUCGGACGAUGUUAUUUUUUGACUCGUUCGGCACCUUACGAGAAAUCAAAGUG